Molecule: ribosomal RNA, 387 nt
Filed under: uncultured bacterium
Lineage: Bacteria
Description: bacterial SSU rRNA
Rfam family: Bacterial small subunit ribosomal RNA
Source: RNAcentral
AUUGAACGCUGGCGGCAUGCUUUACACAUGCAAGUCGAACGGUAACAGGGAGCUUGCUCCGCUGACGAGUGGCGAACGGGUGAGUAAUGCAUCGGAACAUGCCCAGUCAUGGGGGAUAACUACGCGAAAGCGUAGCUAAUACCGCAUACGCCCUGAGGGGGAAAGUGGGGGAUCUUAGGACCUCACGUGAUUGGAGUGGCCGAUGUCAGAUUAGCUAGUUGGUGAGGUAAAGGCUCACCAAGGCGACGAUCUGUAGCGGGUCUGAGAGGAUGAUCCGCCACACUGGGACUGAGACACGGCCCAGACUCCUACGGGAGGUAGCAGUGGGGAAUUUUGGACAAUGGGCGCAAGCCUGAUCCAGCCAUGCCGCGUGAGUGAAGAAGGCCU